GACGAACGCUGGCGGCGUGCCUAAUACAUGCAAGUAGAACGCUGAAGGAGGAGCUUGCUUCUCUGGAUGAGUUGCGAACGGGUGAGUAACGCGUAGGUAACCUGCCUGGUAGCGGGGGAUAACUAUUGGAAACGAUAGCUACUACGGCAUAAUAGUAGAUGUUGCAUAACAUUUGCCUAAAAGGUGCAAUUGAUUCACUACCAGAUGGCCCUGCGUUGUAUUAGCUAGUUGGUGGGGUAACGGCUCACCAAGGCGACGAUACAUAGCCGACCUGAGAGGGUGAUCGGCCACACUGGGACUGAGACACGGCCCAGACUCCUACGGGAGGCAGCAGUAGGGAAUCUUCGGCAAUGGACGGAAGUCUGACCGAGCAACGCCGCGUGAGUGAAGAAGGUUUUCGGAUCGUAAAGCUCUGUUGUAAGAGAAGAACGAGUGUGAGAGUGGAAAGUUCACACUGUGACGGUAUCUUACCAGAAAGGGACGGCUAACUACGUG
Molecule: ribosomal RNA, 495 nt
Filed under: uncultured bacterium
Lineage: Bacteria
Description: partial 16S ribosomal RNA
Rfam family: Bacterial small subunit ribosomal RNA
Source: RNAcentral